GGCUUAUUGAGAUAAUAAUUUUAGGUCUAUCUGCCCAAUGAUUAUUAAAUUUAAUGGCUGCAGUAUAAUUAACUGUACAAAGGUAGCAUAAUCAAUUGUUUUUUAAUUGAAAACUAGAAUGAAAGAAUUAAUGAGAUAUAUACUGUCUCAUAUAUAUUUAAUGAAAUUAAAUUUUUAGUAAGAAUGCUAAAAUAAAUUUAUGGGACGAUAAGACCCUAUAGAAUUUUAUAUUUAUAUUUAGAUUUAAAUUUAUUUUAAAUAUAAAUAUUUAAUUGGGAGGAUUAAUAAAUUUAAGAAACUUUAUUUAAAAUAUAACCUUUGAUUUAAGAAUAGUUUUUGAUCUUUUAUUAAAAAUUAAAAGAAUAAAUUACCUUAGGGAUAACAGCGUAAUAUCUUUUUAAAGAUCAAAUUGAUAAAGAUGAUUGCGACCUCGAUGUUGAAUUAAGAUAAAUUUUAAAUGGAGAAGUUUAAUAAUUAAGUCUGUUCGACUUUUAAAAUCUUACAUGAUUUGAGUUCAAAUCGACGUGAGU
RNAcentral lists this ribosomal RNA (530 nucleotides) under Bombus alagesianus. Its description in RNAcentral is "partial 16S ribosomal RNA". The stretch from base 378 to 530 matches the Rfam family "Bacterial large subunit ribosomal RNA", at positions 2473 to 2626 of the family's 2925-position model. The record is from RNAcentral. Lineage: Eukaryota; Metazoa; Arthropoda; Insecta; Hymenoptera; Apidae.